AGACCGAUAGCAAACAAGUACGGUGACGGAAGAUUGAAAAGAACUUUGAAGAGAGAGUUCAAUAGUACAUGAAACUGUGUGGUGGUAAACGGAGGGAUUCUUGAAGUGUCUGCGAAGAACUCAGCCUUGGUGUUGGGCAGUCACGUCCUGUCUGAUCAGCAAUGACAGCAGGGCGGGUCGGGCCUGGCUCACGGGUGCAUUUUCUCUGCAGUUUACGGCAGGAACCGUUUGGAGUCGACCUAUGGCGUUGGGUGAAGUUACCGGCCUAGCCUGUAGCCCCGGCUGUCCUGGCUCCUCUCCAGACGGGUAUCUGGAGGAGACUCGUAUAGCGAGCAAUGCUCUGUUGCGGUCUCCAUCUCUCUGCCGAGUAGGUCAGCGGUCCCUCCGACCCGUCUUGAAACACGGAC
RNAcentral lists this ribosomal RNA (407 nucleotides) under Calocalanus sp. JH33.13. Its description in RNAcentral is "eukaryotic LSU rRNA". It matches the Rfam family "Eukaryotic large subunit ribosomal RNA", at positions 331 to 666 of the family's 3401-position model. The record is from RNAcentral. Lineage: Eukaryota; Metazoa; Arthropoda; Copepoda; Calanoida; Calocalanidae.